Non-coding RNA from Oryctolagus cuniculus (rabbit), 3027 nucleotides. Lineage: Eukaryota; Metazoa; Chordata; Mammalia; Lagomorpha; Leporidae. The record is from RefSeq and is a predicted model, not a curated record.
CUAUCCUACAGAGGGACUUGAAACAGACACAGGGUGUUAUUUUACAGACUUAUUUAUUUGAAAGGCAGAGCAACAGAGAAGGAGAGGCAGAGACAGAGAAUCUUCCAUCUCCUGGUUUACUCCCCACAGACCGCAAUAGCCAGGCUCAAGUUAGGAGCCAGGGAACUCCACCCGGGUCUCCCACGUGGGUGCAGGGGCUCAAGCACGUGGCUCAUUUCCACUGCUUUCCCAGGAGCAUGGGCAGGGAGCUGGAUCAGAAGUGGAGUAGCCGGGACUCACACCAGCGCUCUGAUAUGGAACGCUGACUUCGCAAGCAGCAGCUUGACCUGCUGUGCCACAAUGCCAGCCCUGCAAGGUGUUAUUUUAGUCUAAAAGUUUAGCAGCAAAAUAAAAACUAGGGAAAUCAAAGAAGUAUACAAGGCCUACAAAAGCAAGCCUUAGUGAGGUAGCAUGUUAUCACCGACUAGCGGUAGAAGAGAACAUCAGUAACUAUGAGAUCGUGAGAAACCCGAAGUAGAAGUCGCUCCCAUUCACUCUGAACACUAGCGGCACCCACACGGGGGCUUCCCAGAGUAACACAGUCAGCUCACCAGGGAGUUUUAAGCUUCUGUUUAUGACAACACCGUUGCCAUGGAAACACCUGACUCAACUUCGUGGACUCACAGCUGAAUAAAGUAAGGUGUGGAACAGAGUCUUAUUUAAACAGCGGCAAACCCCAUAAAACACGGAGAAGGCAAACCGGGCAACAGUGAAUCAGCACCAUAUGUUUUAAUGGAAGGAGCACAUUUUUCCCCCCGAUCCUGACACAAAUAGGUUGUUUCUUUUUAAUGUAGUCCUAUUUUGGGAACCCUAUGAUCAUCGCGACUCCUCCCCCCAGGCCCUAAGGUUUGCUAUCGGCUCUAUCAACAGAAGGCAGUCUGUACUUCUUUCAACUGAUUGAGCUUGCAACACAGCUCACCAGGUCACACAUGGAGCACAAGCCAGGGUUUCAAAACUCUCCUUGCGUGCAGCUGAUUCGGUUACAAGGGAGGACUGACUUUCUCACUAGAGUAACUUCAGGCAUAUGUUCUGCCUUUGGUCAGUACAGAGCUGUCCGAGAACACGAAUGAGAGCACAGGUCAGCUCUGCGCCAGAGCCCAGCCCCGCCCCGUGCUGCCCCUGGACGGGUCAGUGGAGUUUCCCGGCCAAGUGGACCUGAAACGGGAUGGCAGCAGAGAAGUGGCUGUGUAAAUAGAAACCAGCUUCCUCUGCUGCCAGUGCUGCCCAGGGUGUGGCUGCCCUGCUCCUGCACAGGAGAACGAUUCAUACCAGCAAAACCGGAAAAAUCACAACCGAAGGCAACUGUGGACGCUGCGAGAGCCAAGAGGGAAACGUAAAGGAGCUGGGUUUUCCACCAGGAAGCCUUGGGCUGCGGCAGGUGUGGCUCUCAGAAGGCAGCCCUUGUGCCACCCACAGGAUAGCCCAUGGAUUCUCACCGCAGACCAGCGACGGGGACUCUUCCAGCAGCAGGUGCCACGUCCAGAAGGUACUGCAGUCUCCCGAGGCCGGCUCCAGAGGGAACGUGCCCCCAAGCCUGCAAUCAGGCUGGGAACUCAGCCACCCAUGCAGCCCACUAUUCAGGGGGACUCGUGAGGGCGUGGUCCAGGGACCUGGGCCUGGGACGGCAUUUUACCCUUUCUACCGAAAGGGCCAUUCUGAAUCACAAGCAACUAAACAGAUCUAUGGCUAGGAAAAUUUUAUGAUAUUUGAAAUAAAAUUCUUCUUCAAAAAAUAGAAUUUUCUGAAAUAACCAAAUAUUCUACUUUUUCCCUCCCUUUUUGGUAUAGUUUAGGAAAUAUUUGUUUUUGCUAUAUGAGUUCCAAUUAUCUUAAAGAUGGUAUUUCCCCCUUUACCCAAUUCUGAAGACUAAACAACAACCACGCGCCCUCCUUUCUGAACCAAUGCCGCUCAUCUACAGAACACCCUACAGGGGAAGCCCUGAGCGGACAGGAGGCGGCUGCUCAGACCACUGGCCUCCUCCGCUUUACCACAAGCUCGGUUUGAGGACAUCACUGGAACUGAACAAGCCAGCUUUUCUACAAGACCUGGCCUGGUCCAUGUGAUUUUGGAGAAAAUAAUUCAUUUUUUUUUAUUCAAAGAUUGGAUUCACAAGUAGAAAUCAGUUUUUCCUAUAGCUCUGGAGACCACCGCUUGUGGAGACUAAGAGCUCCUUGUCCAGCCCCUUCCUUUCACUGACAGGAAAACCACAGGCCACCCCAGCUGUUUUUGCCUCAGUUUAUAAGGGGCAUUGUUUUUAAAGGUGGAUUUUAAAAAACAAGCACUGGGGGAAGGGGCACAGAAUUGACCCAUGUACAGACUCAGAGCUCAAGGUACUGUAGGUUUGUAUGGCAGGUUAUUUUGGGACUUAUUACAGAGUUUAAAAGAAUUGUAAAAGACACAGCUUUCACUGAAUACGUAUACACGAAAAGGGAACACCACAUUCUGCCACGCUACUCUAAGACCAAGGGUAACCUGAAGAACGCCUGUAAAAAGAACAGCAACGGUAGGCACGUACGCGGACUUUUCAAGUCACUGCUCGGCUAACCUAUCCAUCAGCCCCUCUCGCUAAGAGGGCAGACUGGACACACUUUGGGACGUGCCAAGGUCGGUGGUGAGUCAGCUAAGGCACUGCACUUCCUUGGCUUUAAAUCAUGGUGCUUAUUGACUCUGGUCUGAGCUACCGCUAAACGAAAGGUGACUCCAGCUAAAGACAAGGUGUGUAGCCAGUACACUGUCAAGUUAAUAGAUGUAAUAUUUUAGGACCAAGAUUUUAAAUUGCAAAGCACUGAUAAGCUGAGGAGCAAACUAGUGGGAGGACGGCAUGUAAGAUUACACAAUAUUUGAACAAAAUGUUUGGUUUGCCUCCACACAUUAAAUUGAAAUUUUUCAUUAACUGUUGACCUGCAUUUGAAACCACGCAAUACCCUUCGGUCCUAUAAAACAUCUAUGCUUUUGUGAUAAAGUAGAUUAAAAUAAAAUUAUAUAAUU